UGGGGAAUAUUGCACAAUGGGCGCAAGCCUGAUGCAGCGACGCCGCGUGAGGGAUGGAGGCCUUCGGGUUGUAAACCUCUUUCGCCAGUGAAGCAGGCCAUCUUCUUUGUGGGGUGGUUGACGGUAGCUGGAUAAGAAGCGCCGGCUAACUACGUGCCAGCAGCCGCGGUAAUACGUAGGGCGCGAGCGUUGUCGGAAUUAUUGGGCGUAAAGAGCUCGUAGGCGGCUGGUCGCGUCUGUCGUGAAAUCCCCUGGCUUAACUGGGGGCUUGCGGUGGGUACGGGCCGGCGUGAGUGCGGUAGGGGAGACUGGAAUUCCUGGUGUGGCGGUGGAAUGCGCAGAUAUCAGGAGGAACACCGGUGGCGAAGGCGGGUCUCUGGGCCGUUACUGACGCUGAGGAGCGAAAGCGUGGGGAGCGAACAGG
Molecule: ribosomal RNA, 424 nt
Filed under: bacterium
Lineage: Bacteria
Description: partial 16S ribosomal RNA
Rfam family: Bacterial small subunit ribosomal RNA
Source: RNAcentral